AUCUUACUCCCUUCGUUCCGAAUUACUUGUUUUGGAUUUGUCUAGAUACAUCCGUAUCUAGACUCAUUUUAGUGCUACAUACAUUCGUAUUUAGACAAAACUAAGACAAGUAAUUCAGAAUGGAGGAAGUACAUA
Molecule: non-coding RNA, 135 nt
Organism: Triticum aestivum (bread wheat)
Lineage: Eukaryota; Viridiplantae; Streptophyta; Magnoliopsida; Poales; Poaceae
Source: Rfam